Non-coding RNA from Trichonephila inaurata madagascariensis, 72 nucleotides. NCBI's taxonomy places the organism in Eukaryota, Metazoa, Arthropoda, Arachnida, Araneae, Nephilidae. The record is from the annotation of a GenBank genome assembly.
GAGGGUAUAGUUCAGUGGUAGAUCAUUCGACUGCAGAUUGAGAGGUCCUCGGAUCAAACCCGGCUGUCCUCU